Molecule: ribosomal RNA, 631 nt
Filed under: uncultured Bacteroidales bacterium
Lineage: Bacteria; Pseudomonadati; Bacteroidota; Bacteroidia; Bacteroidales
Description: bacterial SSU rRNA
Rfam family: Bacterial small subunit ribosomal RNA
Source: RNAcentral
UGGUGGCGACCGGCGCACGGGUGAGUAACGCGUAUGCAACCUACCUUUCAGAGGGGAAUAACCCGGCGAAAGUCGGACUAAUACCCCAUAAAACAGGGACACCGCAUGGUGAUAUUUGUUAAAGAAAUUCGCUGAUAGAUGGGCAUGCGUUCCAUUAGGUAGUUGGUGAGGUAACGGCUCACCAAGCCGACGAUGGAUAGGGGAACUGAGAGGUUGGUCCCCCACACUGGUACUGAGACACGGACCAGACUCCUACGGGAGGCAGCAGUGAGGAAUAUUGGUCAAUGGGCGAGAGCCUGAACCAGCCAAGUCGCGUGAAGGAAGAAGGAUCUAUGGUUCGUAAACUUCUUUUGCAGGGGAAUAAAGUGCAGGACGUGUCCUGCUUUGUAUGUACCCUGAGAAUAAGGAUCGGCUAACUCCGUGCCAGCAGCCGCGGUAAUACGGAGGAUCCGAGCGUUAUCCGGAUUUAUUGGGUUUAAAGGGUGCGUAGGUGGUUUGAUAAGUCAGCGGUGAAAGUUUGCAGCUUAACUGUAAAAAUGCCGUUGAAACUGUCGGACUUGAGUGUAAAUGAGGUAGGCGGAAUGCGUGGUGUAGCGGUGAAAUGCUUAGAUAUCACGAAGAACUCCGAUUG